AGCGUUGUUCGGAAUCACGGGGCGUAAAGGGCGCGUAGGCGGCCGAUCAAGUCGGGGGUGAAAGCCUGUGGCUCAACCACAGAAUUGCCUUCGAUACUGUUUGGCUUGAGACCGGAAGAGGUUAGUGGAACUGCGAGUGUAGAGGUGAAAUUCGUAGAUAUUCGCAAGAACACCAGUGGCGAAGGCGGCUGACUGGUCCGGUUCUGACGCUGAGGCGCGAAAGCGUGGGGAGCAAACAGG
Molecule: ribosomal RNA, 240 nt
Filed under: uncultured bacterium
Lineage: Bacteria
Description: partial 16S ribosomal RNA
Rfam family: Bacterial small subunit ribosomal RNA
Source: RNAcentral